CUUCUCUAAGGAAUAGCCACUGGAAACGGUGAGUAAUACCUUAUACGCCCUUCGGGGGAAAGAUUUAUCGGAGAAGGAUUAGCCCGCGUAAGAUUAGAUAGUUGGUGGGGUAAUGGCCUACCAAGUCUACGAUCUUUAGCUGGUUUUAGAGGAUGAUCAGCAACACUGGGACUGAGACACGGCCCAGACUCCUACGGGAGGCAGCAGUGGGGAAUCUUGGACAAUGGGCGCAAGCCUGAUCCAGCCAUGCCGCGUGAGUGAUGAAGGCCUUAGGGUCGUAAAGCUCUUUCGCCAGAGAUGAUAAUGACAGUAUCUGGUAAAGAAACCCCGGCUAACUCCGUGCCAGCAGCCGCGGUAAUACGGAGGGGGUUAGCGUUGUUCGGAAUUACUGGGCGUAAAGCGCACGUAGGCGGAUCAGAAAGUAAGGGGUGAAAUCCCAGGGCUCAACCCUGGAACUGCCUCUUAAACUCCUGGUCUUGAGUUCGAGAGAGGUGAGUGGAAUUCCGAGUGUAGAGGUGAAAUUCGUAGAUAUUCGGAGGAACACCAGUGGCGAAGGCGGCUCACUGGCUCGAUACUGACGCUGAGGUGCGAAAGUGUGGGGAGCAAACAGGAUUAGAUACCCUGG
Molecule: ribosomal RNA, 625 nt
Filed under: Roseobacter sp. 20Ld
Lineage: Bacteria; Pseudomonadati; Pseudomonadota; Alphaproteobacteria; Rhodobacterales; Roseobacteraceae
Description: bacterial SSU rRNA
Rfam family: Bacterial small subunit ribosomal RNA
Source: RNAcentral